GCAGAACAAUAAUAUAUUUUCCCAAU
Molecule: non-coding RNA, 26 nt
Filed under: Mus musculus (house mouse)
Lineage: Eukaryota; Metazoa; Chordata; Mammalia; Rodentia; Muridae
Source: RNAcentral